UCAGAUUGAACGCUGGCGGUAGGCUUAACACAUGCAAGUCGAGCGGUAACAGGAGUAGCUUGCUACUCGCUGACGAGCGGCGGACGGGGGAGUAACGCGUUUACCUAUUGGCGGGGGAUAGCCCAGAGAAAUUUGGAUUAAUACCGCAUAAGCCCUACGGGGGAAAGCGGGGGACUAUUUGUAGCCUCGCACCGAUAGAUGAGCCUGCGUUAGAUUAGCUAGUUGGUGAGGUAAUGGCUCACCAAGGCGACGAUCUCUAGCUGGUCUGAGAGGAUGAUCAGCCACACUGGGACUGAGACACGGCCCAGACUCCUACGGGAGGCAGCAGUGGGGAAUAUUGGACAAUGGGCGGAAGCCUGAUCCAGCAAUACCGCGUGUAUGAAGAAGGCUCUAGGGUCGUAAAGUACUUUCAGAGGGGAGGAAAGGUUGUAGUUUAAUAUGCUGCGACUGUGACGUUAACCUCAGAAGAAGCACCGGCUACCUACGUGCCAGCAGCCGCGGUAAAUACGGAGGGUGCAAGCUUUAAUCGGAAUUACUGGGCGUAAAGCGCGCGUAGGCCGUUAGUUAAGUUAGAUGUGAAAGCCCCGGGCUCAACCUGGGAACUGCAUUUAAAACUGGCUAACUAGAGUAUGGUAGAGGAGAGGGGAAUUUCAGCUGUAGCGGUGAAAUGCGUAGAUAUCUGACGGAACACCAGUGGCGAAGGCGGCUUUCUGGACUGAUACUGACACUGAGGCGCGAAAGCGUGGGGAGCGAACAGGAUUAGAUACCCUGGUAGUCCACGCUGUAAACGAUGAAAACUAGAUGUCUGUGUCUUCGGACGUGGGUAUCGCAGCUAACGCAAUAAGUUGACCGCCUGGGGAGUACGGCCGCAAGGCUAAAACUCAAAUGAAUUGACGGGGGCCCGCACAAGCGGUGGAGCAUGUGGUUUAAUUCGAUGCAACGCGAAGAACCUUACCUACCCUUGACAUCAAGAGAGUCUUGCAGAGAUGUGAGAGUGCCUUCGGGAACUCUUAGACAGGUGCUGCAUGGCUGUCGUCAGCUCGUGUCGUGAGAUGUUGGGUUAAGUACCGUAACGAGCGCAACCCUUAUUCUUAGUUGCCAGCACGUAAAGGUGGGGACUCUAGGAAGACUGCCGUUGCUAAAGCGGAGGAAGGUGGGGACGAUGUCAAGUCAUCAUGGCCCUUAUGGGUAGGGCUACACACGUGCUACAAUGGCUGGUACAGAGGGAAGCGAAGCGGCGAUGUGGAGCGGAUCUCAAAAAGCUUAUCGUAGUCCGGAUUGGAGUCUGCAACUCGACUCCAUGAAGCAGGAAUCGCUAGUAAUCGCGGAUCAGCAUGCCGCGGUGAAUACGUUCUCGGGCCUUGUACACACCGCCCGUCACACCAUGGGAGUAGGUUGUACCAGAAGUGGGUUGGUUAUUGGGCCGCCUACCACGGUAUGAUUUAUGACUGGGGUGAAGUCGUAACAAGGUAGCCGUAGGGGAACCUGUGGC
This 1492-nucleotide ribosomal RNA is filed under the name uncultured prokaryote. RNAcentral describes it as "partial 16S ribosomal RNA". It matches the Rfam family "Bacterial small subunit ribosomal RNA". The record is from RNAcentral.